AUAUGUCAGCGGCAGACGGGUGAGUAACGCGUGGGAACGUACCUUUUGGUUCGGAACAACACAGGGAAACUUGUGCUAAUACCGGAUAAGCCCUUACGGGGAAAGAUUUAUCGCCGAAAGAUCGGCCCGCGUCUGAUUAGCUAGUUGGUGAGGUAAUGGCUCACCAAGGCGACGAUCAGUAGCUGGUCUGAGAGGAUGAUCAGCCACAUUGGGACUGAGACACGGCCCAAACUCCUACGGGAGGCAGCAGUGGGGAAUAUUGGACAAUGGGCGCAAGCCUGAUCCAGCCAUGCCGCGUGAGUGAUGAAGGCCCUAGGGUUGUAAAGCUCUUUUGUGCGGGAAGAUAAUGACGGUACCGCAAGAAUAAGCCCCGGCUAACUUCGUGC
This 386-nucleotide ribosomal RNA is filed under the name Bradyrhizobium elkanii. RNAcentral's name for it is "bacterial SSU rRNA". It matches the Rfam family "Bacterial small subunit ribosomal RNA", at positions 87 to 508 of the family's 1533-position model. Lineage: Bacteria; Pseudomonadati; Pseudomonadota; Alphaproteobacteria; Hyphomicrobiales; Nitrobacteraceae. The record is from RNAcentral.